GCCCUUACACGACCGUACCGCAAACCGACACUGGUGCGCUAGAUGAGUAUUCUAAGGCGCUUGAGAGAACUCAGGAGAAGGAACUCGGCAAAUUGACACCGUAACUUCGGAAGAAGGUGUGCCUUGAGUAGGUGAGCCCGUACAGGGUAAGCCCAAAGAGGUUGCAAAAAAUAGGUGGCUGCGACUGUUUAUUAAAAACACAGCACUCUGCAAACACGAAAGUGGACGUAUAGGGUGUGACGCCUGCCCGGUGCUGGAAGAUUAAAUGAUGGGGUGCAAGCUCUUGAUUGAAGUCCCAGUAAACGGCGGCCGUAACUAUAACGGUCCUAAGGUAGCGAAAUUCCUUGUCGGGUAAGUUCCGACCUGCACGAAUGGCGUAACGAUGGCCACACUGUCUCCUCCUGAGACUCAGCGAAGUUGAAAUGUUUGUGAUGAUGCAAUCUCCCCGCGGAAAGACGGAAAGACCCCAUGAACCUUUACUGUAGCUUUGUAUUGGACUUUGAACAGAUCUGUGUAGGAUAGGUGGGAGGCUUUGAAGCAGGGUCGCUAGAUCUUGUGGAGCCAACGUUGAAAUACCACCCUGGUGUGUUUGAGGUUCUAACCUAGGUCCAUUAUCUGGAUCGGGGACAGUGCAUGGUAGGCAGUUUGACUGGGGCGGUCUCCUCCCAAAGCGUAACGGAGGAGUUCGAAGGUACGCUAGUUACGGUCGGACAUCGUGACGAUAGUGCAAUGGCAUAAGCGUGCUUAACUGCGAGACUGACAAGUCGAGCAGAUGCGAAAGCAGGACAUAGUGAUCCGGUGGUUCUGUAUGGAAGGGCCAUCGCUCAACGGAUAAAAGGUACUCUGGGGAUAACAGGCUGAUACCGCCCAAGAGUUCAUAUCGACGGCGGUGUUUGGCACCUCGAUGUCGGCUCAUCUCAUCCUGGGGCUGUAGCCGGUCCCAAGGGUAUGGCUGUUCGCCAUUUAAAGAGGUACGUGAGCUGGGUUUAAAACGUCGUGAGACAGUUUGGUCCCUAUCUUCCGUGGGCGCUGCAGAUUUGAGGAAGCCUGCUCCUAGUACGAGAGGACCGGAGUGGACACACCUCUGGUGUAUCGGUUGUCACGCCAGUGGCAUUGCCGAGUAGCUAAGUGUGGAAGAGAUAAACGCUGAAAGCAUCUAAGCGUGAAACUCGUUUCAAGAUGAGAUCUGCCGGGGCCUUGAGCCCCCUAAAGAGUCGUUCAAGACCAGGACGUUGAUAGGUCAGGUGUGGAAGCGCAGUAAUGCGUUAAGCUAACUGAUACUAAUUGCUCGUGCGGCUUGACCU
RNAcentral lists this ribosomal RNA (1304 nucleotides) under metagenome. Its description in RNAcentral is "bacterial LSU rRNA". It matches the Rfam family "Bacterial large subunit ribosomal RNA", at positions 1630 to 2925 of the family's 2925-position model. The record is from RNAcentral.